RNAcentral lists this ribosomal RNA (437 nucleotides) under Postolata guangxiensis. Its description in RNAcentral is "partial large subunit ribosomal RNA". Lineage: Eukaryota; Metazoa; Mollusca; Bivalvia; Unionida; Unionidae. The record is from RNAcentral.
UGGACCCGCAAAUGAGGUCGACCCGGGGGAUUCAACCGGGACCGUUGCGAUCGGGACGCGUGGGGGUUAUGCGGAGCUGUAAAGCCCGUGCCUCUGCGUGGGUCUCCGGGCGGACCGGUGCACUUUCCUCGGGUCGAUUGCCACGACCGGCUCUCCCUAGCGGCCACAAGCCAGUUGCCGGGAAGGUGACCGUGGGCCUCCGCGCCCGCGGUAGUUUACAGCCCGGCUCGCUGGUUGAGCUCGUGGGGGGGCCGAGGAAGUUGCCGUUUCUCGUAGCCCUCCGGCCAUCCUUGCUCGUCACGACUGGGGCGAACUGUCUGGUCAGUGCUCUCCCGACCGCGAGCGUAGGAAGGGCUGGUUACGGUGCGAGAAUUAGCUUCGGGCCGGUGGCGAAUCGGUCGGUCCUCCACCCGACCCGUCUUGAAACACGGACCAAG